GCCUCGCCGUUCAAUUUUGCAUUACAUGGUGGCUAUUUUCGAUGGUGCAAUGUCCGGGAAGGUCAUGUGGAUGGGAACUCCGGAGGCAAUGAUUUCGUAUGGCCAUACACAUGUUCCAGCAUCGAAGCUGUCCCACCGACAGGACAUAUAUCUAUCUGGAGGCUGUCAUGCGAAUAUCAAGUCAAGGUCAGUGUAGAGUAGCCACUCAAUUAUAUUUUCUUGCUUGCUUGGUGGGUCAGUCGAAAGGGUGAAAGCCCUGGUGGGUUGGCACAUGUUGUAGUAGUAUGCUUGUGCUCUUGGGGUGUAAAAUGGAACAAACAAGAGUGUGUAUCUGAAGGUGUAAUUUUGUCUGAGUUUCUUAUUUGCGUCGGGUCCGAUAUAGUUGUCUCGCAGAGAAAGUGUACUGACUGGUGUAUUAUUCCUUUUUUUGUUUCCACACCCAACUGGCUUAGAACUCUAGUUUAGAGUGUAAUUUUGUCUCCUUUUCCCUGCCGUCUGGUCUGGUUCAUUUCCUUUUUUUUCUUAUUUGCGUCCGAUAUAUUUGUCUGGUAGAGAGGAAAUGCACUGGCGUUGUACUAUUUAUUAUUCUUGUCUCAGCACCCAGCAGGCUUGUUUUGGAAGCACUAGAGCAUGCGUGCUUCCUGGAUGCUUCCCUUCAUCUGUCAACGCGGCAAUGUGCCGUGUUUGUUUACUGUGCCCGUCCGUCCUUAUGAGCUGUUCCGUUUGAUCGCCAUUCUGUGUUAUCCAUCCCCACGGAGAAAGCGACCGGUUUUCUCCCAUCUGCUUGACCCGUUCUCCGGGAAAAAGGCAGCAAUCGGCAUCCAUACGUUGAAUUAUUACAGUCACGUAGCAUGCCCGAGCCACGUCGGUCGCGAUCCCCGUCAGAAACAGGGGAUGUUACAGGGACGUUGCCUGGCCACCUGCCGGGAAAAGGAGGCCCAACGGCCAGUGGCUCUUCUUCUUCCCUCCCUGUGUGGUAGAGACGGCGACGCCCUUUUGGACUUUGUCGACAGCGCCAAGCGGCGAGCGCGGCACGACCUGGUCGCGGGCGAACGCGCUUUCUUUUCUUUCUCCGAGCUCGCGUUGCGGUUUAGGCACUCCGCCCGGGAAGAGCGAAAGGGCACGGCAGAUAUGAAUAUAUAUCUAUGCGACCUUCUUCUCGCAUCCCACUUCUCCCCCUCUCCCUUCCCCCGUGCUGUGCGGUGCCAUGUCGAGGUCGCAGAUAAGUAGGUGCAGCUCGCUAAUCAUUGCCUCUUCUUAACUAGCAGGCCCGCAACCACCUCCUGCCCUGCCCGUGGCUGGAUUUCUUUGUUUUUUUUUUGUUCACACACACUUACCUCCCGUCACGUACUGCUGCUGCUAGCAUUACUUUUUGUCCAGUCUUCUCCUUCGUCUUAGAUAUCACGGCUGGGUUCCUCUCCUCGCGGGGCCGGCCUCCCUCGUCUCCCUUGUCCCCUUCCUCUCUUCACAGCAGUAUAUCAUCAUCGCCGAGGGCCCGUCCGAUCUCUUCGUCCACACUUUUUGUUUUGUUUGCUGAUUGGCGUGCGUGCGGUUUCUUGGUCCUAGAACCAGUCCCUGACCAUCUUUGCUUGCGCAAUUUGGUUUCUUGCAUAAGCAUUCGCCUUUGACUGCUUCUUUCCAAGGCCCACCAACCACCUUCAAUUCAAUGUGCUCAUUCAACAAUUCUGCCUCUUCCUCUUGAUGCAUACGUAGCCCCCGUCCAAGAAGCGUCAGAUCAUGGCAUUCCACGCUGCAGCUCCAGCUCCUGCCGGAUGGAAAGCGUUGACUUUGUUGGUUCAUCGGUUCUGCUAGCACUUUCCUUCAGUUCAGCCCAUCUCUUCCCGGUUGGGAGGUAAAAAUCCUUUCUUUUCCUUUCCUCGGUGGGUGGCCGACAUCCCUCCGGGCCGCGAUCUGAUCGACCCCGGCGCGGCGCAGAGCACCACGAGUCUCCCGUCCCGUGCUUGCUGCUCCUUCCUUCCUUGGAUCCCAGGACCAGGAGUAGGAGUGGUGGUGGGGUAGCUGCCGCAGCCUCUUGUCCUGUCCCCCCCGCCCGCCGGUCGAUAAAGAUUCGCCGAUUCCGUCUUCGUCUUGGUCCGGCCGUUCCAUCCAUCCAUCCAUCGGCAGCGGCGACGAUGGGCAACACCUGCGUCGGCCCCAGCAUCGGCAAGAACGGCUUCUUCCACUCCGUCUCCACCGUGCUCUGGACCAGGCGCCCCGACGGCGAAGCCCUGCCCGCCGCCAACGCCAACGCCAAUGGAGGCGUCGCGGACCGGGCCCCGCCGCCGGACGCGCCGCUGGCCGGCCACAUCGUGAGCAAGGCGCCCGAGCCCGUCAAGAUCGCCUCCGGCGCCGCCAACGCCAAGCCCGAUGAGGCGGCGCAACCCAAGCCCAAGGCCAAGCCGCCGGUGCAUCCCAAGCCCGCCCCCGCCAAGGAGCAGGAGUCCAAGGCGUCCACGGACUCGUCCAGCAGCUCCGGCUCCGGCUCCGGCGGCGAGGCCAAGCCGCCGCACCACCGGCCCAAGGUACCCCCGGUCAAGCGCGUGUCCAGCGCCGGCCUGCUCGUCGGCUCCGUGCUCAAGCGCAAGACGGAGAGCGUCAAGGAGAAGUACAGCCUGGGGCGGCGGCUCGGGCAGGGCCAGUUCGGCACCACCUACCUCUGCGUCGAGCGGAGCUCCGGCAAGGAGUACGCCUGCAAGUCCAUCCUCAAGCGCAAGCUCGUCACCGACGACGACGUGGAGGACGUGCGUCGGGAGAUCCAGAUAAUGUACCACCUGGCCGGCCACCCCAACGUCAUCUCCAUCCGGGGCGCCUACGAGGACGCCGUCGCCGUGCACCUCGUCAUGGAGCUCUGCGCCGGCGGCGAGCUCUUCGACAGGAUCGUGCAGAAGGGACACUACACCGAGCGGAAGGCCGCCGAGCUCGCCAGGGUCAUCGUCGGCGUCGUCGAGGUGUGCCACUCCAUGGGCGUCAUGCACCGGGACCUCAAGCCCGAGAACUUCCUCUUCGUCGACCAGACGGAGGAGGCCGCGCUCAAGACCAUCGACUUUGGUCUCUCCGUCUUCUUCCGGCCUGGUGAGUUUUUGGUCAAUCUGGUGGGUGCAACCACCAUUCUGUUACUAAUCAUAGCUAGAGUUCAUCUCCAUUUUUUUUUUCAGAAAAGGAAACACUUGCCUAUGUUCGUAUUUAUUUUUCAGAAAAAUAAACAUGAAAACAAUACUUAUCAUACAUUGCACUGCAUCUAGAUGGGCAAGAAAAUAUGUAUGAUUUGUCAUUUUGCUACCAUGGUUCUGUAUUUCUGUUCCUUGAUUUGAUCCAUAAUUUGGUCACACGCUCACAUCCCAUCCAGACUGAUUGAUGUGACCAUGUUGUGGGCUUCAUAAAGCAUGACAGCAUACUGAAUUUUUGCAAUGCAUUGUGCUUUCAGCAACAUGUUUUUUCCUGAGAAAUUAUGCCAUUCAACUGCAACCAUAAACAUCUUGGCCACACAUCUUUAUCAGACUGCAGCCUGAAUCUUUUUUUGAAUUUUCAUCAGAUUUGAGACAUUCUCCACUGUAAUCUCUGCUAAUGUGGAUCUUAAUUAUCCCAGGUCAAAUAUUCACCGACGUUGUCGGAAGCCCCUACUAUGUCGCGCCGGAAGUCCUGAAGAAGAAAUAUGGCCCCGAGGCAGACGUCUGGAGCGCCGGUGUGAUCAUCUACAUUCUGUUGUGUGGCGUGCCGCCAUUUUGGGCAGGUAUGAAUUGUGUUCACUUUCUGACUUCUUUACUUCUUCGACACAAUGCGCAAUUACUUUACAAUUUUUUGGCAUUUUGAUCUAAUUACAGCCUUGUUUCUUUUCAUCGAUCAGAGAACGAGCAGGGCAUAUUCGAAGAGGUUCUACACGGGAAACUCGACUUCGAGUCAGAUCCAUGGCCCAGCAUCUCCGAAGGCGCCAAGGAUCUCGUGAGGAGAAUGCUCCUCAGGGACCCCAAGAAGAGACUGACUGCCCAUGAAGUUCUACGUGAGUCAUUAAAUUUCUCAUCACAUGACUAAAUAAAUUCUAGUUCUCUCAAUGGUCUUUACUCUUUAGUGAAUUGUGUUGCUGAAGUCUGAAGAUUUCUAUUUUCGCAUUGUCUCAGGGCAUCCAUGGGUUCAGGUUGGCGGUCUGGCUCCUGACAAGCCUCUGGACUCUGCUGUUCUAUCCCGUAUGAAGCAGUUCUCGGCCAUGAACAAGCUGAAAAAGAUGGCUCUCAGGGUAAGAAGCAUUCACUUCCCGGCUUGAAAUGAUUGUUUCUUUCGCAUGCCUUGUCGCUCUGAAUUGUCAUCUUGCCUUUGUGCUCGUCCACCAAGCCAAGUGGCCGGCACCACCUGCCAUUUGGAGCUUGGUGGAUGUUAUCAUGGAAGAGACCAAGAAUGCAAAACCAUCCAAAUCGACUUGUCCUGACGCGUGUGUAUGUGUGUGUCUGUCCAGGUGAUUGCGGAGAACUUGUCCGAGGACGAGAUCGCCGGCCUCAAGGAGAUGUUCAAGAUGAUCGACUCGGACAACAGCGGGCAGAUCACGUACGAGGAGCUCAAGGUGGGGCUCAAGAAGGUGGGCGCCAACCUCCAGGAGUCGGAGAUCUACGCGCUCAUGCAGGCCGUAAGUUUGUCACUCAAAUUCACAAGAGUGUGAUGAAUCCAGUGAAAGAAGUGUGUUGGCAUUGACACGAAGAAUGAAAUGGGGUGAAUGCAGGCGGACGUGGACAAGAGCGGGACGAUCGACUACGGUGAGUUCAUCGCGGCGACGCUGCACCUGAACAAGGUGGAGCGGGAGGACCACCUGUUCGCGGCGUUCCAGUACUUCGACAAGGACGGCAGCGGCUACAUCACCCCCGACGAGCUGCAGCUCGCGUGCGAGGAGUUCGGCCUCGGCUCCGACGACCUCAGCCUCGACAACAUGAUCAGAGAAGUCGACCAGGACAACGUCAGUCACACCUUCCCUCCCUUCUUUUUUCUUCUCUUCUCUUCGGGGUGCUCUGACUGAACUGAAACACCAAAACGCUGAUGAUCUCGUGUGUUGGUUGCUUUGGCAGGACGGGCGCAUAGACUACAACGAGUUCGUGGCGAUGAUGCAGAAGCCGGCGCUGGGGCUGGCGAAGAAGGCCGGGGCCGGGCUGGAGAGCAGCUUCAGCAUCGGCUUCAGGGAGGCGCUGAGGAUGGCUUGAUGGAGGAGGAGGAGCUAGGUGGUAGUCAUGGCGACGCUAAUUUCGUUCUGCCCGUCGAAGACGCUUUGUUGUAGAGACAUGGUGAGGUGAUUGAGUUUUCAUAGGGUUGAAGUGGCAGCAGCUCCUGGCGAGUAGCAGAGGGUCGGGACUCGGGACAACGUGGGUGUAGUAGAGGCAGGCAGGCAGGCAGACAGCCCCGGUGAUUUUCUGCUCGCUACUGGAUUGGUUCAAUUGUGUAUUAUACUGAGCAUAUAAACUACAAAAGGCUUUUCCCCUCCCUGUAUACAGUACGGUUAGAAGUGAAACCUGCACAAGUUGGAUUAGUUUUUUUUUCUUUUUUGCGGAUGAAACGAGAUUGUAUUAGUUAAGAAAAGGUGUUACACUCGUUUUCACAAAUAAGAGAAAGAUCCUUGGGCCCGGAGCCUAGUACGCUGGGUGGUGCGUACCCUAUGAGCUAGACAAUGGGUGGCACUGUUGGCUGAUCUCCAGACAUGGCCAAAACUAUUNNNNNNNNNNNNNNNNNNNNCCGGCCUCUGCAUCUGGUCGAUGCAUACGGCCACUUUAUUAAUUAUUAGCACAAAACCUUACAAAGUCGUACAACAGUAAGACCAAAGCCACCAUCUUCGCAACCUCUGUCGCUACUCCUAUCUAACUGAUGAAGGGGCGCUGAUGGUCUGGGCCUAAUACCAAACAGACCUCGCAGCCAAACCUAACAUCUAAGACCUGAGGUCCCAACCUGGACGCCUGCCGGGUAUGGGCACCCACCAGUCCGGCGUGCUCCUCAACCAGGCCGCCCGCCGGGUAUGAGGCCGCCACAACCACCUACCACAUAUCCAUCUUCAGAGUUGUACUGUUGUAACAGCCUUGCCUGGUCUCGCUGCCGCCGACGCCACCACGACGCCAGACAGCGUCGACCUCCUGCGCGUGUCCGUCACCACACAUCUGACGCCCAGCCUCCGCUGCUCCAUGCCGCCAAGAGCCGCCGCCAAGAAUAUGUAGAAUGAAACACCGCUCCACCGAAGGGAGGCAGCACACCCCCACCCCUCACCUGCAGACCCUUCCAUCCGAUCCCAAUGUCCUUGGCGUCGCCUCCAGGAAGGUUACGGUGCCUAAGGCGCCGCCGACGCCCGAUCCGCAUCGGAUCUUGGGCUUUCACCCGGACAUGGGUUGGAGAGGAGAGAUGGUGCCCUCAGCAACGCCCCCAAGGAGGAAAGCGGCGCCAAAAAUCGGCGUCGCCGCUGCCAGUCAGCCUAAGGCUGCCAAGGUUUCCCCCGGACACCGAUCUGCUCCACCAGAACACACCGGAGGUGGAUCCGGCAAGAUCCAAACCAACCCGGGGACUCGGAAGGGAUGCACGGAAGGGAGAGGGGCAAUACCCGCCGCCGGCCGACCCCAAAGCGUUGCCGAACGCGGCUCGGCCGCCGCGAGGUCAGCUUUGGCUGGGGCGCCGGCCGCCAUGAGACAUGGCCAAAACUAUGCCUCCGGAUCCCAUGCAGGGCCCUCUUCGUCUCCUUCACCUAGCUCGCCAGUGAACAUCUGUUGACGCUGCUAUCCAUCAGGGCGCACACUCCCUGCUUGCAAUCUAACUCAAUGAUUAAUGACUUCUCCGUUCGCUGCAGUGCCAGGGACGUGCCCUCAAGACACGCUGCCAUUUCCGCCUCCAUCGAAGAGCGACAUGAUCGAAGAAAGCAACACGAAGAAAGGAUGAUGGCCCCGGUGUCGUCCCUUAGUACCAUGCCGGCACCCCCUGUAUUCUCGCCAUGGAUGUAUGAUCCAUCCACGUUGAGCUUCGUCCAUCCCGCCGGAGGUUUCUCCCAAGUUGUGUUAGCUACUAUACCUCUCGGUGAUGCUACUGUUUGCUUGACCAUAUGCGCUACACUCUGAACCAUCUUGCCUUUCACCAAAUCUCCUUAUGGAUGCUGCUUGAUGCACGGUAGGGACUCGAUGUAGCUACACAAGAAUCUCCACGGACACUCGAUAGCUGGUGCCGGCUUGUAAUGUGUGACCUCGUUCCUACAAUGCCACACACGCCAAAAGGUCAUGAGGAUGACCAGCCGCUGCAACUCGGUGCAGUUAUCCAGGAGGUGAAGUAGCCAUUCCUUGCCGGUGUUCACGACCGUCGCCAGGUCCGGGAGUAGCCAUGACUCCCUCAUGGCCUCCUAUAGUGCACACGCCAUGGGGCACCUGCAAAUAGUAUGGAAGGUGUCCUCCUGCUCAACGCCACAUAGGCCACACACAUAAGAUUUUUCCAAGGUUCUCUUAUGCUUAUUCUCCAUCGUAGCCAAUGAGUUGGUUGCAAUCCGCCAACCGAAGACGCAUACCUUAGGUGCAGCAGGGCACCUCCACAUUGCCUUCCAGACGGCACAAUUGCCAUCCGGUGGCCUGCUUGCGGCUCAUGAAGACGUGUGAAAUUUAUCCUCAAGACCAAUCUUGUAAGCCGACUUGGCAGAAAAGAUGCCUUUUGGGUAUGGACCCCAAGCCAAGACAUCAUGCAUCCUUGGCGAGGGACGCAACUUUAGUAUUUCAUCAACAUCAAGUGGCAAGAAGUGUUCUUGAAGUAACUCUAUUUUCCAUGCACCAUGAUCAUCAAGUAGUUCUGCCACCCGGCGUAACCGGCACCUUUCAGCCUGUGAUAUGGGCCGGUAUGACGCCGGUCGUUCGAGCCAAGGGUCGCGCCAGAUACGAACAUUUUGACCGUCACCGAUCCGCCAUACGAGCCCUCUCUUGAGGAGCUCCAAGCCAUAUGUUAUGGCCUGCCAAGUAGAGGACGCGUUACCUGCAAAAACAAUAUCCUCCAACCGCCCAUUAGGAUAAUAUUUAACUUUCAAAACCCUAGCACAUAAGCUUUAUAGGUAGAGUCAUAUGAAUGUGGCAAAUUUGUGAAACUUUUGAAGAGCCCCAACCUCAAGUAGGAAUCUAAGAUCAUCUCUAGCGGAUCCCUCAAAAGGUAUUUUUUUUGGGGAAAAUAUCUGGUUUAGGGGAUUAAACACCGUCCAACAAAUCCCUAAAAAAGUUUAGUGCCUCCAAUAUAACCCCCACUAAAAUCUCCCCCUAGCCUAUAUUUGCUCCACAUCCCCGCCUCCUCACCGUCUCCGGUGAGAUUCCGGCAAACUUCUUUUUUCAUCAUUUUGUCUUCCUCUUUGUCUCCAACCAUUGUGGAGCUUGUCCCUAGCAUCCCUGGCUCGAUGGCUCCUCCCUGUCCUCACUGGCCAUGAGUAGAGCAGCGACCCAAGCAGACAGACUCCUACAAAGGAGAAACAUGACAUAGAUUUUUUUGUACUGAGAAACAUGGCCGCCAACAUCGAUUCCAAUGAUUCCUUGCGUUUCGGAACCACGCCAUCGUGCCACUAGGAGAAGGAAGAUGAGAAGAACUCAUUCUGAAGAAGAAAUGUUGAAACCGUGGCCCAUGGAAGACGAAUUGCACCUACUUUGUAGACUCCUUCACAUGCGUACAAUCAUGCUCGAUGAUCCUUUAUCAAACUACUUUUGCGGAUCAUAUAUCCAAGCCCUAGAUAGCUCAUGGACAUCGUCUAGUGGUGAGAAGUCAUCGUUGUCCACAUGAAAGGAAGAAGAAGAAAGACGGAAGAAGUAAGAAGAAGAUGAAGAGAGGCUCCCAUGUGGAGUUGAAUUGGUCUGGGGAAUAAGUUUAGGGGAUUUUCUAGAUGAAGAAAAGUUCAAUCCCCUAAAAUAUAGCUUUUUAGAGGAUAGGGGAUACAAUAUAGAACUAUAGGAUAAGGGAUCCCCGCUAGAGAGCAUCUCUAGCUCAUUCCCCAAAAGCUAUAUAUAAGUGAGGAGAGUUGGGCUAGCCUGACUGAAUGUGGGCCAGGUGGGUGGUGGACCGCCUGAACUGUUGGAAAUAUGCCCUAGAGGCAAUAAUAAAAUGGUUAUUAUUAUAUUUCUUUGUUCAUGAUAAUUUUCUAUUGUUCAUGCUAUAAUUGUGUUAUCCGGAAAUCAUAAUAUAUGUGUGAAUACAUAGACCACAACACGUCCCUAAUGAGCCUCUAGUUGACUAGCUCGUUGAUCAAAGGAUAGUCAUGGUUUCCUGACUAUGGACAUUAGAUGUCAUUGAUAACGGGAUCACAUCAUUAGGAGAAUGAUGUGAUGGACAAGACCCAAUCCUAAGCUUAGCUCAAAGAUCGUGUAGUUCGUUUGCUGUAGCUUUUCUGAAUGUCAAGUAUCAUUUCCUUAGACCAUGAGAUUGUGCAACUCCCGGAUACCGUAGGAGUGCAUUGGGUGUGACAAACGUCACAACGUAACUGGGUGACUAUAAAGAUACAUUACAGGUAUCUCCGAAAGUGUCUGUUGGGUUGGCACGAAUCGAGACUGGGAUUUGUCACUCCGUAUGACGGAGAGGUAUCUCUGGGCCCACUCGGUAAUGCAUCAUCAUAAUGAGCUCAAUGUGAUCAAGUGGUUGAUCACAGGAUCAUGCAUUACGGUACGAGUAAAGUGACUUGCCAGUAAUGAGACUGAACAAGGUAUUGGGAUACCGACGAUCGAGUCUCGGGCAAGUAACAUAUCGAUUGACAAAGGGAAUUGUAUACGGAUUGAUUGAAUCCUCGACAUUGUGGUUCAUCCGAUGAGAUCAUCGUGGACCAUGUGGGAGCCAACAUGGGUAUCCAGAUCCCGCUGUUGGUUAUUGACCGGAGAGGCUUCUCGGUCAUGUCUGCAUGUCUCCCGAACCCGUAGGGUCUACACACUUAAGGUUCGGUGACGCUAGGGUUGUAGAGAUAUUAGCACAAGGUAACCCGAAAGUUGUCUGGAGUCCCGGAUGAGAUCCCGGACGUCACGAGGAGUUCCGGAAUGGUCCGGAGGUAAAGAUUUAUAUAUAGGAAGUCCAGUUUCGGCCAUCGGGAAGGUUUCGGGGGUCACCGGUAUUGUACCGGGACCACCGGAAGGGUCCCGAGGGUCCAUCGGGUGGGGCCACCUAUCCUGGAGGGCCCCAUGGGCUGAAGUGGGAGGGGAACCAGCCCCUAGUGGGCUGGUGCGUCCCCCUUGGGCCUCCCCCUGCGCCUAGGGUUAGAAACCCUAGGGGUGGGGGGCGCCACCCUUGCCUUGGGGGGCAAGGCACCCCCUUGGCCGCCACCCCCCCUAGGAGAUUGGAUCUCCCAGGGCUGGCGCCCCCCCCUAGGCACCCUAUAUAUAGUGGGGGGAAGGGAGGGCUGCGCACCAAAGCCCCAGGCCUCUCCCUCUCCCUUCCGUGACACUCCUCCGUCUCCCAGCGCUUGGCGAAGCCCUGCCGAGAUCACCGUUGCUUCCACCACCACGCCGUCGUGCUGCUGGAUCUUCAUCAACCUCUCCUUCCCCCUGGCUGGAUCAAGUUGGAGGAGACGUCUUCCCAACCGUACGUGUGUUGAACGUGGAGGUGUUGUCCGUUCGGCACUUGGUCAUCAGUGAUUUGAAUCACGUCGAGUACGACUCCAUCAACCCCAUUCUCUUGAACGCUUCCGCUCGUGAUCUACAAGGGUAUGUAGAUGCACUCCUCUUUCCCUUGUUGCUAGAUGACUCCAUAGAUUGAUCUUGGUGAUGCGUAGAAAAUUUUAAAAUUCUGCUACAUUCCCCAACAGUGGCAUCAUGAGCUAGGUCUAUGCGUAGUUACUAUGCACGAGUAGAACACAAAGCAGUUGUGGGCGUCGAUAUUGUCAAUUUGCUUGCCGUUACUAGUCUUAUCUUGAUUCGGCGGCAUUGUGGGAUGAAGCAGCCCGGACCAGGGAUGAAGCAGCCCGGACCAACCUUACACGUACGCUUACGUGAGACCAGUUCCACCGACUGACAUGCACUAGUUGCAUAAGGUGGCUGGUAGGUGUCUGUCUCUCCCACUUUAGUCGGAUCGGAUUCGAUGAACAGGGUCCUUAUGAAGGGUAAAUAGAAAUUGGCAAUUCACGUUAUGGUUUUGGCGUAGGUAAGAAACGUUCUUGCUAGAAACCUAUAGCAGCCACGUAAAAAACUUGCAACAACAAUUAGAGGACGUCUAACUUGUUUUUGCAGCAAGUGUUUUGUGAUGUGAUAUGGCCAAAGGUUGUGAUGAAUGAUGAAUGAUAUAUGUGAUGUAUGAGAUUGAUCAUGUUCUUGUAAUAGGAAUCACGACUUGCAUGUCGAUGAGUAUGACAACCGGCAGGAGCCAUAGGAGUUGUCUUAAUUUAUUUAUGACCUGCGUGUCAACAUAAACGUCAUGUAAUUACUUUACUUUAUUGCUAAACCGUUAGCCAUAGUAGUAGAAGUAAUAGUUGACGUGACAACUUCAAGAAGACACGAUGAUGGAGAUCAUGAUGAUGGAGAUCAUGGUGUCAUGCAGGUGACAACGAUGAUCAUGGAGCCCCGAAGAUGGAGAUCAAAGGAGCAAAUGAUAUUGGCCAUAUCAUGUCACUAUUUGAUUUCAUGUGAUGUUUAUCAUGUUUUACAUCUUAUUUGC
This 11589-nucleotide long non-coding RNA is filed under the name Triticum aestivum (bread wheat). RNAcentral's name for it is "long non-coding RNA (TAES_LNC006258)". Lineage: Eukaryota; Viridiplantae; Streptophyta; Magnoliopsida; Poales; Poaceae. The record is from RNAcentral.